CUCAUUGUAAGAUGCCUUGAAGACCUAGCCAAAGAUGGCAAGAUUAUAGAGAAGGUGUAUGGAAAGCAAAAGAUUUAUUUUGCUGAUCAGAGCCAAUUUCCAAGUGUAGAUGAGAAAGAAUUGAAAGACAUGGACACCAAGAUCACUGGGUUGACAGCAAGUUUAGAGACUUCCAGGACAAAAUGCAAACAAAUGGAGAAAGAAAUCGCAAUGUUGAAUAGUUCCUUGACCAAUGAUGAAGCCAAGCAGAGGAUACAAGAACUCACAGCUAUGG
This is a long non-coding RNA of Strongylocentrotus purpuratus (purple sea urchin), 274 nucleotides long. RefSeq lists it as uncharacterized. The record is from RefSeq and is a predicted model, not a curated record. Lineage: Eukaryota; Metazoa; Echinodermata; Echinoidea; Camarodonta; Strongylocentrotidae. The transcript is spliced from 3 exons.